GCUGGGAUGGGUAGGGGAGCGUCGUGUGCCGGGUGAAGCAGCCGCGGAAGCGAGUUGUGGACGGUUCACGAGUGAGAAUGCAGGCAUGAGUAGCGAUACAAACGUGAGAAACGUUUGCGCCGAUUGACUAAGGGUUCCUGGGUCAAGCUGAUCUGCCCAGGGUAAGUCGGGACCUAAGGCGAGGCCGACAGGCGUAGUCGAUGGAUAACCGGUUGAUAUUCCGGUACCCGCUGUGAAGCGUCAAACAUUGAACCAGGCGAUGCUAAGUCCGUGAAGCCGUUCCGGACCCUUCGGGGAAAGGAAAGUGGUGGAGCCGACGGACCAGACUUGCAGUAGGUGAGUGAUGGGGUGACGCAGGAAGGUAGUCCAUCCCGGGCGGUGGUAGUCCCGGGGUAAGGGUGUAGGCCGUGCGAUAGGUAAAUCCGUCGUACUUGUGGCUGAGACCUGAUGCCGAGCCGAUUGUGGUGAAGUGGAUGAUCCUAUGCUGUCGAGAAAAGCCUCUAGCGAGUUUCAUGGCGGCCCGUACCCUAAACCGACUCAGGUGGUCAGGUAGAGAAUACCGAGGCGUUCGGGUGAACUAUGGUUAAGGAACUCGGCAAAAUGCCCCCGUAACUUCGGGAGAAGGGGGGCCAUCACUGGUGAGGGAACUUGCUUCCUGAGCUGGGGGUGGCCGCAGAGACCAGCGAGAAGCGACUGUUUACUAAAAACACAGGUCCGUGCGAAGCCGUAAGGCGAUGUAUACGGACUGACGCCUGCCCGGUGCUGGAACGUUAAGGGGACCGGUUAGUCACAUUUCGGUGUGGCGAAGCUGAGAACUUAAGCGCCAGUAAACGGCGGUGGUAACUAUAACCAUCCUAAGGUAGCGAAAUUCCUUGUCGGGUAAGUUCCGACCUGCACGAAUGGCGUAACGACUUCUCGACUGUCUCAACCAUAGGCCCGGUGAAAUUGCACUACGAGUAAAGAUGCUCGUUUCGCGCAGCAGGACGGAAAGACCCCGGGACCUUUACUACAGUUUGAUAUUGGUGUUCGGUUCGGCUUGUGUAGGAUAGCUGGGAGACUUUGAAGCGGCCACGCCAGUGGUUGUGGAGUCGUCGUUGAAAUACCAGUCUGGUCGUGCUGGAUGUCUAACCUGGGUCCGUGAUCCGGAUCAGGGACAGUGUCUGAUGGGUAGUUUAACUGGGGCGGUUGCCUCCUAAAGAGUAACGGAGGCGCCCAAAGGUUCCCUCAGCCUGGUUGGCAAUCAGGUGUUGAGUGUAAGUGCACAAGGGAGCUUGACUGUGAGACCGACGGGUCGAGCAGGGACGAAAGUCGGGACUAGUGAUCCGGCGGUGGCUUGUGGAAGCGCCGUCGCUCAACGGAUAAAAGGUACCCCGGGGAUAACAGGCUGAUCUUCCCCAAGAGUCCAUAUCGACGGGAUGGUUUGGCACCUCGAUGUCGGCUCGUCGCAUCCUGGGGCUGGAGUCGGUCCCAAGGGUUGGGCUGUUCGCCCAUUAAAGCGGUACGCGAGCUGGGUUUAGAACGUCGUGAGACAGUUCGGUCCCUAUCCGCUGCGCGCGCAGGAAUAUUGAGAAGGGCUGUCCCUAGUACGAGAGGACCGGGACGGACGAACCUCUGGUGUGCCAGUUGUCCUGCCAAGGGCAUGGCUGGUUGGCUACGUUCGGGAGGGAUAACCGCUGAAAGCAUCUAAGCGGGAAGCCUGCUUCGAGAUGAGUAUUCCCACCCACUUGAUGGGGUAAGGCUCCCAGUAGACGACUGGGUUGAUAGGCCAGAUAUGGAAGCCUGGUAACGGGUGGAGUUGACUGGUACUAAUAGGCCGAGGGCUUGUCCUC
This 1829-nucleotide ribosomal RNA is filed under the name Streptomyces europaeiscabiei. RNAcentral describes it as "bacterial LSU rRNA". It matches the Rfam family "Bacterial large subunit ribosomal RNA", at positions 1218 to 2925 of the family's 2925-position model. Lineage: Bacteria; Bacillati; Actinomycetota; Actinomycetes; Kitasatosporales; Streptomycetaceae. The record is from RNAcentral.